This 426-nucleotide ribosomal RNA is filed under the name uncultured Actinomycetes bacterium. RNAcentral's name for it is "bacterial SSU rRNA". It matches the Rfam family "Bacterial small subunit ribosomal RNA", at positions 233 to 671 of the family's 1533-position model. The record is from RNAcentral. Lineage: Bacteria; Bacillati; Actinomycetota; Actinomycetes.
GCGGCCUAUCAGCUUGUUGGUGAGGUAAAGGCUCACCAAGGCUACGACGGGUAUCCGGCCUGAGAGGGCGACCGGACACACUGGGACUGAGACACGGCCCAGACUCCUACGGGAGGCAGCAGUGGGGAAUAUUGGGCAAUGGACGAAAGUCUGACCCAGCGACGCCGCGUGAGGGAUGAAGGCCUUCGGGUUGUAAACCUCUUUCAGUAGGGAAGAAGCGAAAGUGACUGUACCUAAAGAAGAAGCACCGGCUAACUAUGUGCCAGCAGCCGCGGUAAUACAUAGGGUGCAAGCGUUGUCCGGAAUUAUUGGGCGUAAAGAGCUCGUAGGUGGUUUGUUGCGUCGGGUGUGAAAUUCAGGGGCUCAACCCCUGACCUGCACUCGAUACGGGCAAGCUAGAGUUUGGUAGGGGAGACUGGAAUUCCU